GUCAAAGCGUUCAUUAAAGUCGAGUUGGCUUAGGGAUACGUUCGUUGGGUAGGGGAGCGUUCUGUAAGCCUGUGAAGGUGUGUCGUGAGGCAUGCUGGAGGUAUCAGAAGUGCGAAUGCUGACAUAAGUAACGAUAAAGCGGGUGAAAAGCCCGCUCGCCGGAAGACCAAGGGUUCCUGUCCAACGUUAAUCGGGGCAGGGUGAGUCGACCCCUAAGGCGAGGCCGAAAGGCGUAGUCGAUGGGAAACGGGUUAAUAUUCCCGUACUUGGUGUUACUGCGAAGGGGGGACGGAGAAGGCUAUGUUGGCCGGGCGACGGUUGUCCCGGUUUAAGCGUGUAGGUGUGUGUUCCAGGUAAAUCCGGUUCACUUUAACACUGAGGCGUGACGACGAGGCACUACGGUGCUGAAGCAACAAAUGC
This 420-nucleotide ribosomal RNA is filed under the name Salmonella enterica. RNAcentral's name for it is "bacterial LSU rRNA". It matches the Rfam family "Bacterial large subunit ribosomal RNA", at positions 1181 to 1600 of the family's 2925-position model. The record is from RNAcentral. Lineage: Bacteria; Pseudomonadati; Pseudomonadota; Gammaproteobacteria; Enterobacterales; Enterobacteriaceae. RNAcentral also lists the same sequence under 1 other name.